AACGAACGCUGGCGGCAUGCCUAACACAUGCAAGUCGAACGAAGGCUUCGGCCUUAGUGGCGCACGGGUGCGUAACGCGUGGGAAUCUGCCCUUUGGUUCGGAAUAACAGCUGGAAACGGCUGCUAAUACCGGAUGAUGACGAAAGUCCAAAGAUUUAUCGCCAGAGGAUGAGCCCGCGUUGGAUUCGGUAGUUGGUAGGGUAAAGGCCUACCAAGCCGACGAUCCAUAGCUGGUCUGAGAGGAAGAUCAGCCACACUGGGACGGGGAAACGGCCCGGACUCCUACGGGAGGGAGGAGUGGGGGAUGGUGGAACAUGGGGGCAAGGCUGAUCGAGCAAUGCCGGGUGAGUGAUGAAGGCCGUAGGGUUGUAAAGCUCUUUUACCCGGGAAGAUAAUGACUGUACCGGGAGAAAAAGCCCCGGCUAACUCCGUG
RNAcentral lists this ribosomal RNA (433 nucleotides) under uncultured bacterium. Its description in RNAcentral is "partial 16S ribosomal RNA". It matches the Rfam family "Bacterial small subunit ribosomal RNA", at positions 29 to 507 of the family's 1533-position model. The record is from RNAcentral.